Long non-coding RNA from Rhinichthys klamathensis goyatoka, 251 nucleotides. RefSeq lists it as uncharacterized. The record is from RefSeq and is a predicted model, not a curated record. The transcript has 3 exons. Lineage: Eukaryota; Metazoa; Chordata; Actinopteri; Cypriniformes; Leuciscidae.
CGAGAGGGAAGGGCAUAAACAUGUGAAGUGGAACACCGUUCAUUCUGCUCCAAAUUCUGAUUGUUUUCAUACCGAGAAGCAGCAGAAAGCAGGAGGAAUUACUCCAGGAGAAACUAAUCGCAUACAAUUGUAAAGAUGGAGUUUCAGGAAGAACCCUGCAGAAUAAAAGAUGAAGAUACAGAGAAACUAAUAGACCCGGUGGAAGUGAAUAAAGACAAACAGUAUUUCACAAAUGAAGAUGGAAACAGACU